This 436-nucleotide ribosomal RNA is filed under the name Bacillus thuringiensis. Its description in RNAcentral is "bacterial SSU rRNA". It matches the Rfam family "Bacterial small subunit ribosomal RNA", at positions 958 to 1395 of the family's 1533-position model. Lineage: Bacteria; Bacillati; Bacillota; Bacilli; Caryophanales; Bacillaceae. The record is from RNAcentral.
AACGCGAAGAACCUUACCAGGUCUUGACAUCCUCUGAAAACCCUAGAGAUAGGGCUUCUCCUUCGGGAGCAGAGUGACAGGUGGUGCAUGGUUGUCGUCAGCUCGUGUCGUGAGAUGUUGGGUUAAGUCCCGCAACGACGGCAACCCUUGAUCUUAGUUGCCAUCAUUAAGUUGGGCACUCUAAGGUGACUGCCGGUGACAAACCGGAGGAAGGUGGGGAUGACGUCAAAUCAUCAUGCCCCUUAUGACCUGGGCUACACACGUGCUACAAUGGACGGUACAAAGAGCUGCAAGACCGCGAGGUGGAGCUAAUCUCAUAAAACCGUUCUCAGUUCGGAUUGUAGGCUGCAACUCGCCUACAUGAAGCUGGAAUCGCUAGUAAUCGCGGAUCAGCAUGCCGCGGUGAAUACGUUCCCGGGUCUUGUACNCACCGAAU